RNAcentral lists this ribosomal RNA (748 nucleotides) under Staphylococcus aureus. Its description in RNAcentral is "bacterial SSU rRNA". It matches the Rfam family "Bacterial small subunit ribosomal RNA", at positions 1 to 731 of the family's 1533-position model. The record is from RNAcentral. Lineage: Bacteria; Bacillati; Bacillota; Bacilli; Caryophanales; Staphylococcaceae.
UUUAUGGAGAGUUUGAUCCUGGCUCAGGAUGAACGCUGGCGGCGUGCCUAAUACAUGCAAGUCGAGCGAACGGACGAGAAGCUUGCUUCUCUGAUGUUAGCGGCGGACGGGUGAGUAACACGUGGAUAACCUACCUAUAAGACUGGGAUAACUUCGGGAAACCGGAGCUAAUACCGGAUAAUAUUUUGAACCGCAUGGUUCAAAAGUGAAAGACGGUCUUGCUGUCACUUAUAGAUGGAUCCGCGCUGCAUUAGCUAGUUGGUAAGGUAACGGCUUACCAAGGCAACGAUGCAUAGCCGACCUGAGAGGGUGAUCGGCCACACUGGAACUGAGACACGGUCCAGACUCCUACGGGAGGCAGCAGUAGGGAAUCUUCCGCAAUGGGCGAAAGCCUGACGGAGCAACGCCGCGUGAGUGAUGAAGGUCUUCGGAUCGUAAAACUCUGUUAUUAGGGAAGAACAUAUGUGUAAGUAACUGUGCACAUCUUGACGGUACCUAAUCAGAAAGCCACGGCUAACUACGUGCCAGCAGCCGCGGUAAUACGUAGGUGGCAAGCGUUAUCCGGAAUUAUUGGGCGUAAAGCGCGCGUAGGCGGUUUUUUAAGUCUGAUGUGAAAGCCCACGGCUCAACCGUGGAGGGUCAUUGGAAACUGGAAAACUUGAGUGCAGAAGAGGAAAGUGGAAUUCCAUGUGUAGCGGUGAAAUGCGCAGAGAUAUGGAGGAACACCAGUGGCGAAGGCGACUUUCUG